AACCGUUUUUAGCUUCGAUCGUCAGGAAAUAAACUGAGUUAUCUACUUCGCCCCGGUAGCCGAGUUGGUAGCGUGCUUGGAUUACCAAUGUAGGGGUCGUGGGUUCGAUUCGCACCAGAAGCCUUGUUCUGUCGCUACUGUGGUAUCACAAUGGACUUAAAAUUGUCUAACAUGGAAGUAGAUUUCCCAAUUUAAAGGGGUAAUCACUACCUUCAAUUUGGAAUAUCACACAUACCCCAGAACUGUUUUUUGUUGAACAAAUCUUCCAGAGCAAGGAUUAAUGGCGAAUUGCAAGAUGUAUGUCCCGAUUGUAAUCAAGGACCACACGAUACACGCACCCCAUCUUUGCAGCAGAGUUCCUGGAUCUUGACACUCAACAGAAUCAAGCAAACGAAAGAACUGUUUUUCGUUGAACAAUCCUUCCAGAUUUCUAUUUUGGAACUAGAGGGCAGGACACAAAAUUCAGCGUGGAAGCCAUACAUGAACAUCGUUUAAAAAAUGGCGCAUACAAAAUUAAAGGGGGGAUCAAAACCUUAAACAUGGCGUACCACGCAGAACAAUCCUUCAAGAUUCCUAUUUCAAAACUGGUGGCAGGGCACUACAUUCAGUCUGGAAGCCAUAAAUGGACUUCGUUCAAAAAAAUGCGAACACCAAAAUAAAGAGGAGAUCAGUACUUUUAAUAUGUUAUACCACACAUAUCCCAGAACUGUUGCUCGUAGAACAAU
Molecule: long non-coding RNA, 725 nt
Organism: Stomoxys calcitrans (stable fly)
Lineage: Eukaryota; Metazoa; Arthropoda; Insecta; Diptera; Muscidae
Exons: 3
Source: RefSeq, a predicted model, not a curated record